Molecule: ribosomal RNA, 253 nt
Filed under: uncultured bacterium
Lineage: Bacteria
Description: partial 16S ribosomal RNA
Rfam family: Bacterial small subunit ribosomal RNA
Source: RNAcentral
UACGUAGGGUGCAAGCGUUGUCCGGAAUUAUUGGGCGUAAAGAGCUCGUAGGCGGUCAGUCGCGUCUGCUGUGAAAACUCGGGGCUUAACUCCGGGCCUGCAGUGGGUACGGGCUGACUAGAGUGCGGUAGGGGAGACUGGAAUUCCUGGUGUAGCGGUGAAAUGCGCAGAUAUCGAGAGGAACACCUGCGGCGAAGGCGGGUUGCUGGGCCGACACUGACGCUGAUGCGCGAAAGCCAGGGGAGCGAACGGG